UACGGAGGGUGCUAGCGUUGUUCGGAAUCACUGGGCGUAAAGGGCGUGUAGGCGGUCUGUUAAGUCUGAUGUGAAAUCCCCUCGCUCAACGAGGGAACUGCGUCGGAUACUGGCAGACUUGAGUACCGGAGAGGAAGGUGGAAUUCCCGGUGUAGCGGUGAAAUGCGUAGAUACUGGGAGGAACACCGGUGGCGAAGGCGGCUACCUGGACGGGUACUGACGCUGAGGCGCGAAAGCUAGGGGAGCAAACAGG
Molecule: ribosomal RNA, 253 nt
Filed under: uncultured bacterium
Lineage: Bacteria
Description: partial 16S ribosomal RNA
Rfam family: Bacterial small subunit ribosomal RNA
Source: RNAcentral